This is an RNA transcript of Stegostoma tigrinum, 1573 nucleotides long. It is a transcript of the gene named dystrophin-related protein 2-like, with no coding region annotated. The record is from RefSeq and is a predicted model, not a curated record. The transcript has 8 exons. Lineage: Eukaryota; Metazoa; Chordata; Chondrichthyes; Orectolobiformes; Stegostomatidae.
GGUGUUGUAGCUGUGGAAGUGGAGGUGGUGAGUGCAGCAGCGGUUCCGGAAGUGGUGUGGCCGGCGGAGUUGGAUGUGACGUCAUCGGAGGGGUCUCCGGCCGUGUUUUCAUGUUCAAUGGCGGCGGCGCAGUGGAUCUGUUGGAGUUGCACACAGCGCAACGCAUCUUUGAUCAACACAAAUUGACACAAACCGAGUAACUUCUGAAUGUGACUGAAGUAAUCAACUGUUUAACGUCCAUUUAUGAUGUUUUGGAACAAAACCACAAGGACUUGGUCAAUGUGCCACUCUGUGUCGACAUGUGUCUGAACUGGCUGCUGAACGUAUUUGAUACGGGUAUGAGUGGAAGAAUCAGAGUGCUUUCUUUGAAAAUUCGCUUGACGUGACUCUUCAAGGAUCAACUGGAGGAAAAAUACAAGUAUCUCUUCAAACAAGUCGCUGAACCCACAGAUUUAUGUGACCAACGAAGCCUGAGUCUUUUGCUUUACGAUGCAGUCCAGAUCCCUUGGCAGCUGGGUGAGGUAGCUUCAUUUGGAGGCUGCAACAUUGAGCCAAGUAUCCGCAGUUGCUUCCAACAUGGCCAGAACAAACCAGAGAUUGACGUUGAACGCUUUGUCGAGUGGAUGAGAUUGGAGCCUCAGUCCAUGGUGUGGCUGCCUGUUCGACACCGUGUGGCAGCUGCUGAAACUGCAAAACAUCAGGCUAAGUGUAACAUCUGCAAAGAGUACCCAAUCGUAGGUUUCAGGUACCGCAGUCUCAAGCACUUCAAUUCUGACAUCUGCCAAAGCUGUUUCUUUUCGGGGCGCACAUCAAAGGGACACAAGUUACAUUGCCCCAUGGUGGAGUACUGCACUCCGAACCUACCCCGGAAGAGAGAGCCCAGAGAAUUGCCAAAGCUGUCCGCAAACAGUCAAUAGAAGUGAAGGAAACUUGGGAGCAAUUGAAAAUCCAUGCGAGCAACUGGCAGGAACAGGUGGAAAAGGUGUUGGAGAAACUUCAAGAACUGCAGAAAGCUCUGGAUGAUCAUGAGGCUCAUGUGAUAACAGCUGAAGGGGUCCGCACUGAUUGGCAACCUGUGGGUGAACUGCUUAUUGACUCAUUGCAGGAUCACAUUGAUAAAACCUCAGGGUUGGAGUCGAAGAAUCAGAGUGCUUUCUUUGAAAAUUGUCUUGAUCUGUCCAUCCAAGCGUCAACUGGAGGAAAAAUACAAGUGUCAGUACUAAAUCUAUCAUUGCUGAUACACUUGUAAACUGUAGGUUUAACUGGAGGUAAACUUUGUUUAAUAAACUAGCACACUCAAUAAACUGACAAAAAUUACAUACCAGAUGUUUACUGUCUUCUCAUAAUCUCUGUGAUGUCUGGUGAGGGUGCAAGUGAGAAGGCUCUCUGCCAGUAAGUUUUAGUUCACGCAAAGUUGCAUCAUUACUGAAGUUAUUUAUGCUGUAAAUGAAGGAGAACAGUGAUGUGUAUAUCCUGUGCAUUAUGUUCCUAUUAUCGAGUGUGUGUUUUUUGUGUGUGUGGACCUAUUGAUCAACUGGAAUUUUUGAUUAUUCAGCACAUUCCUGGGACCACA